UCUGCCCUUCGGCGGAGGACACGCCCUCGAAAGGGGGUCUAAUACUGCGUAACAUAUUGAGAUCGCAUGGUCUCUUUAUCAAAGCAGCAAUGCACCGGAGGAUGAUCCCGCGUCUGAUUAGCUUGUUGGUAGGGUAACGGCCUACCAAGGCGACGAUCAGUAGCCGGCCUGAGAGGGUGAACGGCCACACUGGGACUGAGAUACGGCCCAGACUCCUACGGGAGGCAGCAGUAGGGAAUAUUGCGCAAUGGUCGAAAGACUGACGCAGCAACGCCGCGUGGAUGAUGAAGUUUUUCGGAAUGUAAAAUCCUUUCAGUGGGGAAGAACGGCCUUCGGGUUUGACGGUACCCACAGAAGAAGUCCCGGCCAACUCCGUGCCAGCAGCCGCGGUAACACGGGGGGGACAAGCGUUGUUCGGAUUUACAGGGCGUAAAGCGCUCGUAGGCAGUCUUGCAAGUCGGAUGUGAAAACCGAAGGCUCAACCAUCGGCCUGCAUCUGAAACUGCGAGUCUAGAGUACUGGAGAGGAUGGCGGAAUUCCUGGUGUAGCGGUGAAAUGCGUAGAUAUCAGGAGGAACACCGGCGGCGAAGGCGGCCAUCUGGACAGAUACUGACGCUGAGGGGCGAAGGCUAGGGUAGCAAACAGGAUUAGAUACCCUGGUAGUCCUAGCGGUAAACGAUGGGCACUAGGUGUUGGCGGUAUCGACCCCGCCAGUGCCGCAGCUAACGCAUUAAGUGCCCCGCCUGGGGAGUACGGUCGCAAGAUUGAAACUCAA
RNAcentral lists this ribosomal RNA (775 nucleotides) under uncultured Acidobacteriota bacterium. RNAcentral describes it as "bacterial SSU rRNA". It matches the Rfam family "Bacterial small subunit ribosomal RNA", at positions 125 to 904 of the family's 1533-position model. The record is from RNAcentral. Lineage: Bacteria; Pseudomonadati; Acidobacteriota.